Long non-coding RNA from Amphimedon queenslandica, 678 nucleotides. RefSeq lists it as uncharacterized. The transcript is spliced from 4 exons. The record is from RefSeq and is a predicted model, not a curated record. NCBI's taxonomy places the organism in Eukaryota, Metazoa, Porifera, Demospongiae, Haplosclerida, Niphatidae.
AUAAUUAUUAUUACAAAUACGUAUAUCCAGUCAUCAUUUAGUGUACAUUAGCAAGAAUAACAUUAACCUUCCUCUACCUGUCAUGACAUGAACCAUAUGAGUAUACAUGUAACACACAAUAAGCUGACAACAGCCUACACAGGGUAAUCAUAUGUUUGACUGUAAGAUACAAUGAACUAGCACAUGAUAGACAAGAGGACAUGAUAGGCAAUGUGCUUAAGUACAUGCUUUAUAUGAAUAAUGUAUAAUAGAAGAAGAAUAAACAACAACAACAACAAGGAGCUGGUCCACUUUAUUCAGCACUCAAUCAAGACAAUGAUACUCCUCCUCCUGUCCCUCCUGCCUAUAAUCCUGAGGGAGUACAGGAAUACUCUGUAUUGAAGAGAGAGGGAGAGAAUAAGGGUCAACAGGGUCUGUCUACUGGUGCUACUGGACUAUAUUCAACCAUUAAUAAAAACACCAACAACCAGGUGUUAGUUGAUGAAUCAGCUCAUAAGCCAGUGUAUGCUGAUCUGGCUAUUGCUGCUAAAGGGAAGAGACCACAGGCAGUACCAACACAAGAACAACCAGUGGUAUAUGCAUCAGUUAACAACAAAUCUGUUCCUCCUCCCAUUCCUCCUCCAGCUGCUCCUCAUAAAGUAUUGUAUGCUGAUCUAUCAAUAGCAGCUGGUAAGAGAA